Molecule: long non-coding RNA, 759 nt
Filed under: Felis catus (domestic cat)
Lineage: Eukaryota; Metazoa; Chordata; Mammalia; Carnivora; Felidae
Description: lncRNA (ENSFCAG00000042186.2)
Source: RNAcentral
UAACUAUAUUUCAAAGUUAUGGCUGGUUGUGUGGGUCUGUUAAACAGUUGUUGGCUAAUUUUCCAUAGCAAAAAAGAAUAAUGACCACCUCAUAAAUUGUGUUUCUGUAUGCAUUUUGAUUAACAGAGAUUAUUAUUGAUUUAAAAAGGGGAGUCUGAAAGGAUUAAACUCCAUUAAUAAAUAAAUACUGUCUGAAUGUUAACAGUUUUAAAUGUCACUAGCCUAACACUUCAUAAUACACAGAUCUAACAAGUAUUUUCCUCCAGGCAGAAGGUCUCCAUGAAAAGAGCUUUGAAUAUAGCAGUACAUUGAAGCACAACUAACGACUUGGCUGAUUGUUUUUCUCUAUGCCAACUCCAAGGCUGUGCUCCCAGUGCUCCAACCACAGGCAAAAGGCAGCAGCAGAAGGUCUUUACAUCCCUGUCUUAACGGGGAAAAAAAUGCAACCUCCAGUCCAGAAAGCAAAUAUCCAGAAGCCGCUCCAAGUCAUGACUUCAAAAGCGCGUAUCUUUUGCUAUCUGGAACCAGCUUCCACCAUGCCACAUAACCCCCUGGAAGAUUAGCCAACAUCGCUUUCAACUUACCACUUGCAGCUGCUUGGAACUCCACAUCGAUUCUCCGCAGAGUUGCAGCGCCUAACUGGACAGUGAACACAUGAAUCUCUGCCAGCACUGGAGUCUACGGCACCAUGAUUUGCAAACAUGUUGAAUUGCUAUUUUAUUCAAUAAAUGGGACGUACAAUAGAAAAUAGGUUUGGAA